UACGAAGGGGGCUAGCGUUGCUCGGAAUCACUGGGCGUAAAGGGUGCGUAGGCGGGUCUUUAAGUCAGGGGUGAAAUCCUGGAGCUCAACUCCAGAACUGCCUUUGAUACUGAAGAUCUUGAGUUCGGGAGAGGUGAGUGGAACUGCGAGUGUAGAGGUGAAAUUCGUAGAUAUUCGCAAGAACACCAGUGGCGAAGGCGGCUCACUGGCCCGAUACUGACGCUGAGAUGCGAAAGCGUGGGGAGCAAACAGG
Molecule: ribosomal RNA, 253 nt
Filed under: uncultured bacterium
Lineage: Bacteria
Description: partial 16S ribosomal RNA
Rfam family: Bacterial small subunit ribosomal RNA
Source: RNAcentral